RNAcentral lists this ribosomal RNA (322 nucleotides) under uncultured eukaryote. RNAcentral's name for it is "partial 18S ribosomal RNA". It matches the Rfam family "Eukaryotic small subunit ribosomal RNA", at positions 1470 to 1796 of the family's 1831-position model. The record is from RNAcentral.
CCCUUAGAUGUUCUGGGCCGCACGCGUGCUACACUGAGUAAAUCAAUGGGUAAGGGAACACGAAAGUGCAACCUAAUCUUCAAAUUUGCUCGUGAUGGGGAUCGACGGUUGCAAUUUUCCGUCGUGAACGAGGAAUACCUUGUAGGCGCGUGUCAUCAUCACGCGCCGAAUACGUCCCUGUCCUUUGUACACACCGCCCGUCGCUCCUACCGAUUGAGUGAUCCGGUGAGGCUCUGGGACCUGGACGGAAAGAGCGUUUCGCUUGUUCUGUUUGGGAAACUUGGUCGAACCUUAUCAUUUAGAGGAAGGAGAAGUCGUAACA